UCAAAUUCCUCGCCCCAAGUGACCCACCUGCCUCAGCCUCCCACAGUGCUGGAAUUACAGGGGUGAGCCACUGCUUUCAGCCCUUAUGUUCCUCUUAUAGUCACACCCUUUCUCUACCCCAAUCAUGGCAAGCACUGAUCUGGUUCUAUACUUUUACUUUUUACAAAAUAUCAUAGAAAUGCAAAUGUAAAGGAUGUGACCUUUUUUUUAAAUUAAACUUUUUAUUUGGGGAUAAUUGUAGCUUCUCAUGCGGUUGUGAGGAAUAAUACAGAGGGAUCCUCGGUACUCCGGCCAGUUCCCUCAAGGGUAGCACCUUGCAGCUACAGUAACGGAUCACAGCCAGGAUAUCCACACUGAUACAGCCAGAACGGAAAGUUCCCUCCCAAACAGCCCUCAUGCUGCCCUUUCACAGAAACACCCACUUCCCACUGUCCCAAACCCCUCCUUAGCCCCUGGCAACUACUAAUUUGGUCUCCACUUGUAUAAUUUUGUCAUUUCAAGAAUGUUCUGCACAUGGAAUCAUAUAGUAUGUGACUUCUGGGGACUGGCUUUCUCCCACUCAGCAUAGUUUUCUGGGUUUUCCUCCAGGCGGCUCGGUUACAACGUUGUUUGUUCCUUUUUAAUGCUGAGUAGGAGUCUAAGUAUGUAACCUUCUGAGUCUGGCUUCCUGAGUUCAGUGUAACAAUGUUGCAAUUCAUCCCAGUUGCCUUAUGGAUCAAUAGUUUGUUCCCUAUUAUUGCUGAGCCUGAUUCCAUUUAUGAAGGUCUCACAAUGUGUUUAGCCAUUCACCAGUUGAAUGACAAUUGGGUUGUUUCCACACGUGUGUGUGUGUGUGUGUGUGUGUGUGUGGUGGGUCAAACCAGAUGUUUCUGCUUCUUACCAAUGGUGAAUAAAACCAGUAUAAAUAUUUGCAUACAAAUUUUUGUUUGAACAUAAGUUAUCAUUCAAUUUAGAUAAAAACCUAUGAGUAGGGUUUGCUUGAUAUGCAUAAACACGUUUAUUAGAAAUUGCCAAAUGGUUUUCAGAGAGGAGGCUGCUGGGGGUGGGGACAUAGGGGUACAGGAGGGUUCGGUUAAUGAAGCUUCUGCCAGCCCAGUUGGAAAAUAGGCCUGUGUCCCAGCACUGAGGUGCCCAAAUCCCUUGCCCAGACCUGAGCUAGCAGGGUCUCAAGAUCACAGUCAGUCAAGAGUCAGAAGCGGCAUCUUCUGCUCCAGAAGCUUCUGUUCCUGUGGGCCCUGCCCCCUCCUCAGGGCUCCACAGGAGCUGUUCAAUACGCUGGGUGCUGUGCAAACUGUAGGGCACAGCCAGACACUUGGAGCUCAGAGGGACCCAGGGUGGGCAGGAUUGGCCGAAGCUGGAAGUGGGUCCCUGCAGGUCACACCCCACCUGCUGCCUCCAGACCUUGGACAUUUCAUGGGGGCUGGGCCAGUUACAGGGAGGGAAAGGGAAAUGGGGACCCUUCUGAUUGCUGCCCUGGGACCCUAAGAUCUUGGGUAGUGACAAGGAACCUGGAAGCACAGCUGUCCCCAAGAGGCCUUCCUGGGUCCCUCCUCCAUGGACAGGACUUCAGACUGGACAGUCACUCAUCCGUUUUUCCAUCAGUCUGUCCAUCCAUGUAUCUGUCCAUGCACACACACCCCCAUCCUUCCUCAAGCCCCCUGAGGCCUCCUGGGGCCUGAGCUAUAUAGACCCUCAGCUCCUGAUGUCCCAGGCAAGGCAGGAUUGGCCUCGCAAAGCCCCGGUGAGACCUGAAGUGUGCCUGCUCAUGCACUGUGGGAGAAGGGGGCUGUGGCACUGGGGUCCCCUGGGAGUACUUGUCCCUGCCCAGCCCAGAGCUCAGGUUGCAAGUGAGACCCUCUGUGAAGAAGACAAGGGGCAGGGGAUACUGGGAAUUCCACAUCAGCAAAGGUGGCCUGGUGGCAGUGGCAACCUCAAACAGGCCUGGGAGCUGGAACCAGGGCUGGAGGGCAGAGGGAGGAAGGGCAUGCUGGAAGAUGGGUAUGAGCAAAGGCACAGGAGUGACCUUAGUGGCCCUUUUGUCAACAGGGAUAUGGCAGUUACAUAUGGGCCCCCAUGGAACCAUCCUGAAGGAUCAUCUCAGAGACCCUAGAACCUGUCCACCAUGCCACCUGCCCUGGCACCCUGCCCACCACCCAGAAAUUCCUUCUAUUCUGCCACAUGGCUGGGCCCUGCACUGGGCCAGGACUUCAUGGGCGAAGAGGACAAGGGAGGGAGGGAAUCUGGGCCCUGCAUGGGACACAGGCAGUGACCACCUGGUAAAGAAGACUAUGGUCUCGAUUUCCUGACCUGGUGAUCUGCCUGCCUCGGCCCCCCAAAGUGUUGGGAUUACAGGCAUCGACCGCUGCAUGUGACUUACAACUUUUUUCCAUAGCGUGUAUCCUAAUUUAUCUUUACAGCAAUAGUGUAUAAGAUUUCCCCUUUAUCCAAAUCCACACCAGCAUUCCUUUUAAUUUUUAAGAUAAUUUCAGUAACAUGCAUCUAGUAGGUGUGGGAUGGUAUCUGAAUGUGGUUUUGGAGUACAUUCUCUUCUGAUGCGUAGUAAUGGUGAGGACCUUUUUUCUCUUAUGUGUUUGUGCAUUUUAUGUCAUUUAUGCAGUGAUGUCUGUUGAGGUUUUUUGCCCAAUUUUAGUUUGGAUACGUAUUUUUCAUGCUUUAUUUUUUUUUCUUCGGUGUACAUGUUUGUUAACAACCAGUUAUCACUUCUAUGAUUCCCUCAUAUUUUCUCACAAUCUUUUUCUUUUUUGAGACUGGUCACUCUCACCCAAGCUGGAUCACAGUGGCACAUCACAGAACCAUGUAGAUUGGAAUAUUGGCUACCUACAGCUUUGCAACACAAUCUGACAUCAGGAAUUGUUUAUCCGUGUUGCCACAAAGGACAUUAUGUCAUCAAUCUUUGUUGAUGGGGCGUAUUUUGUUGUGUCUGUAUACUGAAGUUCCUUCACUCCUUCAUCAGUUGAUGGACAGGUUUCUCCAAGUGGUUGCAGAUGACAUGAUUUCCUGAAGUGUUACAGCUGAAGUGUGUUUCCUUGUGUAUAUAUACUGUGGUUCCUUUAUCCCUUCAUCUGUGGAUAGACAGGUGCAACCGUGUGGUUCCCCACGAUGUGAUGUCAUUGUGAUUUUCUGUCUGAAGAGUAUCCCAGUGUGUACAUGUGGAGCAACUUCUUUCUCCCUUCAUUUGUGGAUAAGCAGGUAGGUUGAUGCUUACACUGGCUCUUGGGAACAGUGCUGGAAUCCACAUGGGUGGGUAGAUCUAUCUUUGGUGUCCUGAUUUCAAUGACUUUGAGUGUAUUCCUAGUAGUAGAAUUGCUGGUUGAAAUGAUAGUUGGAGUCUUUUAAGGUUGGGAGGAACCUCCAAGUGGUUUCUGUAGCGUGUGUGCUAGUUUACCUUCUCACGAACUGUGGAGAAGAGUGUCUCUCUCUCUCUGGAAACACAACAGCAUUUCCCUUUCUUUCAAUGUUUUUUGUCUUCUUUUGUAACACUCAUUCCAAUUAGAAUGAGAUGGUGUCUAAGUGUGGUUUUGAUUUACAUUUUGCUUGUGGUUAGUGAUGUUUGCCAGGUUAUUGUGAACUUGUUUCAAUUUGUUGUGUAAGACUGGGCAAAGGACCUGAAGACCUGAGAUGGAUGCACAGGUUAAAGAUUCUGAAUCAACAUUACUGAUCCUCACGAGAAGUCAAUCAAAACCACACUGAGAUAGCAUCUGUCUCUGGUGAGAAUGAAUAUUACCAAAAUGGGACAGCAGUUUCAUUGUUGUAUAGUCUGUGUGUAUAACCAGCGAGUGCAAGGCACAGUUUGAUCAGUGUAAACGUAGCAUCAUCAUGAAGUCGCAGUGUCUGGCAUCUCUGUGAGCUCCAGACUUAUGAUUUCUCUGUGGAGAGAAUAUUCACAACUGACCUUUGUAGCUGUUUUGAAAAUUGUGGUUUUCUGUUGUUGCCUUUUGGCAUAAUAGCCUACGGCUCUGUCCAGGUUUCUGGUAAGGGCAUGGAUUUGUUUUUUAUGGCUAUGUAGUGUUCAGUGCCAUGUCUUUACUAUUGUGAGUAGUACUUCCGUGAACAUACGAGUGCAUGCGUGUUUUCGAUGGAAGGGUUUUCCUUUGGGUAGAUACUUAGGAGUGGGGUUGCAGCACUGGGUGGUAGUUCUCUUUUAAGUUCUUUCAGAAAUGUCCACACUGCUCUCCAGGAUGUCUGAGCUAGUUUGCAUUUCCCCCUACAGUGGACCUGCAUCUUUUUGCUAGUCUGCUCCACCAGCCUCUGUUGUUGUGGACUGUGUGUCAUAAUUGCCAUUCUGACUAUUGUGCGACGUGGUAUCGCAGUAUGUUUUUGAUGUGCAUUUCUCUGAUGAUCAGUGAGAUUGAGCAUCUUUUCAUUCUCAUUAGUUACUGGUACACCUCCUUUUAAGUGUGUGUUCAUGUCCCUUGCCCAUUUAUAAUUUGGGUUUUUUUUUUUCUGAUUUUAUUUGUUGAAGGUCUUUACGAUAAAUCCUGGAUAUUAGAUGUUUUUCACAUGCGUAGUUGUGGAAUAUUUUCCCUCAUUCUAUAGGCUAUGUGUUGACUCUGUUGGUUGUUUCUUGUUCUGUGCAGCUGCUUUUUUGUGUAUUAGGUCCCGUUUAUCAGUAAUUGCUUUUGGGGAGUUGACAUUUAAAUGCUUUGCCAAAGCCUCUGUUGAGAAUGGUAUUUGCUAGAUUCUCAUGCAGGAUUUUCUCAUAGUUUCAGGCUUUGAAUUUUUAUGUAUUUAUCUAUUUAGAGACUGAGUCUCGCUCUGUUGUACAGGCUG
Cercocebus atys (sooty mangabey) is the source of this 4791-nucleotide long non-coding RNA. RefSeq lists it as uncharacterized. The transcript has 4 exons. The record is from RefSeq and is a predicted model, not a curated record. Lineage: Eukaryota; Metazoa; Chordata; Mammalia; Primates; Cercopithecidae.